AAAAAACCCAAUUUUUGCAUCUAAAUAACUUAAAAUUAAAUAUUUGAUAAAUUAUAAAAUAAAUUGACAUAUUAGAAAUAAAUUAUUUUAGGUUAUAAUUAUUUAGGCCUUAUUUUUUUAGACAUUGGACUAUGGUGAUGACAGUUAUGGAACUUUUGUAAGAAGUAAGUUGCCAUCCAUGACUCUAUCAAAAAAUUGAGUGCAUCAACUAAGACCCUUUGGUUUUCCCUUUGGAAGUUAAUGCCUUAAUCAAAUGUCCCUCAGACAAAAUAAUG
This 275-nucleotide unclassified non-coding RNA is filed under the name Hevea brasiliensis (rubber tree). The record is from RNAcentral. Lineage: Eukaryota; Viridiplantae; Streptophyta; Magnoliopsida; Malpighiales; Euphorbiaceae.